UGACCUCAGAUCAGACAAGGAUACCCGCUGACUAAAG
Molecule: ribosomal RNA, 37 nt
Filed under: Dactylellina sp. 6175
Lineage: Eukaryota; Fungi; Ascomycota; Orbiliomycetes; Orbiliales; Orbiliaceae
Also listed under: 1 other name
Description: partial 28S large subunit ribosomal RNA
Source: RNAcentral